GGUGCAAAAUAAGGGGUGGGCAAGCCUGGUGUCAGCCGCCGCGGUAAUACCAGCACCCCGAGUGGUCGGGACGAUUAUUGGGCCUAAAGCAUCCGUAGCCGGUUCUACAAGUCUUCCGUUAAAUCCAUCUGCUUAACAGAUGGGCUGCGGAGGAUACUAUGGAGCUAGGAGGCGGGAGAGGCAAGCGGUACUUAGUGGGUAGGGGUAAAAUCCGUUGAUCCACUGAAGACCACCAGUGGCGAAGGCGGCUUGCCAGAACGCGCUCGACGGUGAGGGAUGAAAGCUGGGGGAGCAAACCGGAUUAGAUACCCGGGUAGUCCCAGCUGUAAACGAUGCAGACUCGGUGAUGAAUAGGCUUCGUGCCUUUUCAGUGCCGCAGGGAAGCCGUUAAGUCUGCCGCCUGGGGAGUACGGUCGCAAGACUGAAACUUAAAGGAAUUGGC
RNAcentral lists this ribosomal RNA (442 nucleotides) under Nitrososphaera viennensis. RNAcentral's name for it is "bacterial SSU rRNA". It matches the Rfam family "Archaeal small subunit ribosomal RNA", at positions 427 to 869 of the family's 1478-position model. Lineage: Archaea; Thermoproteati; Nitrososphaerota; Nitrososphaeria; Nitrososphaerales; Nitrososphaeraceae. The record is from RNAcentral.